UGAGGAAUAUUGGUCAAUGGACGGAAGUCUGAACCAGCCAAGUAGCGUGCAGGAUGACGGCCCUAUGGGUUGUAAACUGCUUUUAUACGGGGAUAAAGUGAGCCACGCGUGGCUUAUUGCAGGUACCGUAUGAAUAAGGACCGGCUAAUUCCGUGCCAGCAGCCGCGGUAAUACGGAAGGUCCGGGCGUUAUCCGGAUUUAUUGGGUUUAAAGGGUGCGUAGGUUGCCGAUUAAGUCAGCGGUGAAAGUCAGUGGCUCAACCAUUGAAUUGCCGUUGAAACUGGUUGGCUUGAGUACGUACGGGGCAGGCGGAAUGCGUGGUGUAGCGGUGAAAUGCAUAGAUAUCACGCAGAACCCCGAUCGCGAAGGCAGCCUGCCAGGCCGUGACUGACACUGAUGCACGAAAGCGUGGGUAUCGAACAGGAUUAGAUACCCUGGUAGU
RNAcentral lists this ribosomal RNA (442 nucleotides) under uncultured Parabacteroides sp. Its description in RNAcentral is "bacterial SSU rRNA". It matches the Rfam family "Bacterial small subunit ribosomal RNA", at positions 355 to 794 of the family's 1533-position model. The record is from RNAcentral. Lineage: Bacteria; Pseudomonadati; Bacteroidota; Bacteroidia; Bacteroidales; Tannerellaceae.